Molecule: long non-coding RNA, 1049 nt
Filed under: Chrysemys picta bellii (western painted turtle)
Lineage: Eukaryota; Metazoa; Chordata; Testudines; Emydidae
Description: lncRNA (ENSCPBG00000014582.1)
Source: RNAcentral
GGGAGAGAGGACUCCCUUCCCAGCUCUUUCUCCCUGCAGCAGCACCUGGGGGGGAGAGACACGUUCAGGGCUGGGCUGGGCUGGGGGAGGGGCGCCUGUUCCGUGGCAGGGCCAGGGCUGGGCUGGGGCUGGGGUGGUGCGGCUGGGGGAAGGGCAUCUCUUCCCGCCGCAGCCCUGAGCGCCCACGCAGCGCUUAAUAGGCCGCUCAGCUUAGAGGGAACUUAGCCCACCAUCCCCUGCAACAAAGAACUUCCCCCUCCAUGAUUUCCAGCUUCCCCUUCCCAUGAAGCCAUUAGUGAUCACUUGACAAGCCGCGUGGAGACCUCUGCGGUGGUGCACCCAUAUCCCAGGCAGCAGCUUAAUAGAGGGCCAAUUGCUUUGUGCCAGGAAGGGGAACCUGCAGCCGGCCUGGGAUCAGCCGGCUAACGGCAGCUGAAACCCCUGCUUGGCUGAACUGGCUGAGUAGCAUUGCCAGGACUGCUCUUAAACCCGGUAGGAGGACUUGGCCCGCGGCUGCUCGAUGCUUAUGUCUUCAGCUGGGCUUGUUCCUCCAUCUGCCAGUCCAGCCCUGCUCAGUUCCUGACUCCGGCUCUGACCACUAGGCCGGACUACCCCACCUCCUGCUCCAUGACUCGUGGCUUAUGUUGCCUGAGCUGUACGCCAAGCCAGGCCCUGCCCCUCCCCUGCUCCAACCAGUUCUUCUCAUUUGUGCCCCUGGCCCCACCUAUCCCUUCCCCUCCAACUCAGCCCCUUUGUCCCUCCUCAGGCGAGCCUCACCCUGCCGUGUGGGGAGGCGAUCUUCCCUUGCGGUGAGUGAUGAACUCGGCCUAAAGAAGCAACAACGUUUGUGCCACCCUCAUAAAAUCAAGAAUAGUAACAACUCGCUCCUAACUAGCACUUUUCACCCGUGGAGCUCAAAGCCUUUUACAGAACAAAUCCGCGUAUGCAGCGGCGUGGUCGCUAGGUUGGUCCCAGGAUGUGAGAGAGACAAAGUGGGGAAGGGGAUCUCUUUUACUGGACCGACUUCUGGUGGGGAGACAAGCUUUUGA